ACCAGAUAAGACAGCUGAAUGAUAGUCGGGCUGAAGACUCGUACUUGACUAGCUGAGAGAGUGCAUGGCCGUCGUCAGUUCGUACUGUGAAGCAUCCUGUUAAGUCAGGCAACGAGCGAGACCCACGCCCACAGUUGCCAGCGUACUCUCCGGAGUGACGGGUACACUGUGGGGACCGCCGCUGCUAAAGCGGAGGAAGGAAUGGGCAACGGUAGGUCAGUAUGCCCCGAAUAUCCCGGGCUACACGCGAGCUACAAUGGUUGGUACAAUGGGUAUCUACCCCGAAAGGGGACGGGAAUCUCCUAAAACCAAUCUUAGUUCGGAUUGAGGGCUGCAACUCGCCCUCAUGAAGCUGGAAUCCGUAGUAAUCGCGUUUCAACAGAACGCGGUGAAUACGUCCCUGCUCCUU
This 409-nucleotide ribosomal RNA is filed under the name uncultured Methanolinea sp. RNAcentral describes it as "bacterial SSU rRNA". It matches the Rfam family "Archaeal small subunit ribosomal RNA", at positions 929 to 1338 of the family's 1478-position model. The record is from RNAcentral. Lineage: Archaea; Methanobacteriati; Methanobacteriota; Methanomicrobia; Methanomicrobiales; Methanoregulaceae.